Long non-coding RNA from Carassius carassius (crucian carp), 638 nucleotides. RefSeq lists it as uncharacterized. The transcript is spliced from 3 exons. NCBI's taxonomy places the organism in Eukaryota, Metazoa, Chordata, Actinopteri, Cypriniformes, Cyprinidae. The record is from RefSeq and is a predicted model, not a curated record.
GAUACUUUAUCAUAUCAGUCAUGUGGUGUUUUUUGACCAGUAAACAGCCACACACUCAGAGCACACAGAGUAGAAACUAACAUUAACCAUUACUCGCACACUAACAACGUAUUUGAUAUUGAUUUUUGCUACUAAAAAUGAAAAGGACGAGUUGUAUCUUUGGAUAACACUCCUUCAGUCCUUCACUCAUGUUGUGUUUCCUGUUCCUCAGGUGAUGUUACACAGCUGGAACUGGAGCAGAUAUCUUGAGCUGUCAACAUUUCUCUGAUCUUUCCAGUUGUCAUUGGAGACUUCAGAUGCAGAAGAUCACGACUGCAGUGACAAUCCACAGAGAUCCAACAACAGCAGAAACCAGCACUAUCAGAGAACCUGGAGGAACUGAAGAAGAGUAAAAGAGAGACAGUCAUGAAUCUGUAGCUGUUUUUCUCCUGAUAUUCCACCUCCAGAGGUAGAGAGAGACUGAUGCUGAGAUCAGACACACUGAUGCUGGACAAUAAACUGUUUCCUUUGUACCAGGAGAGAGUCACAUGACCCACAUUCACCACUGAACACAACAAUGAACAAUUCUGCUGUGAUGAAGAUGAUGAAGAUGAUGAAGAACAUUGGGAAGAGUUACUGCUGAUGACAGGAACAGGUAG